GAGCGGCAGCGGGAAAGUAGCUUGGUACUUUUGCCGGCGAGCGGCGGACGGGUGAGUAAUGCCUGGGAAAUUGCCCAGUCGAGGGGGAUAACAGUUGGAAACGACUGCUAAUACCGCAUACGCCCUUCGGGGGAAAGCCGGGGACCUUCGGGCCCUGCGCGAUUGGAUAUGCCCAGGUGGGAUUAGCUAGUUGGUGAGGUAAUGGCUCACCAAGGCGACGAUCCCUAGCUGGUUUGAGAGGAUGAUCAGCCCCCCUGGAAAUGAGACCCGGUCCCGACUCCUUCGGGAGGCAGCCGUGGGGAAUAUUGCCCAAUGGGGGAAACCCUGAUGCAGCCCUGCCGCGUGUGUGAAGAAGGCCUUCGGGUUGUAAAGCACUUUCAGCGAGGAGGAAAGGUCCGUAGCUAAUAUUUGCUGGCUGUGACGUUACAAGCCGAAGAAGCCCCGGCUAACUCCGUG
This 456-nucleotide ribosomal RNA is filed under the name uncultured bacterium. RNAcentral describes it as "bacterial SSU rRNA". It matches the Rfam family "Bacterial small subunit ribosomal RNA", at positions 64 to 507 of the family's 1533-position model. The record is from RNAcentral.